RNAcentral lists this ribosomal RNA (120 nucleotides) under Thinopyrum intermedium. Lineage: Eukaryota; Viridiplantae; Streptophyta; Magnoliopsida; Poales; Poaceae. The record is from RNAcentral.
GGAUGCGAUCAUACCAGCACUAAAGCACCGGAUCCCAUCAGAACUCUGAAGUUAAGCGUGCUUGGGCGAGAGUAGUACUAGGAUAGGUGACCUCCUGGGAAGUCCUCGUGUUGCAUUCCC